This 944-nucleotide ribosomal RNA is filed under the name Salmonella enterica subsp. enterica serovar Vitkin. RNAcentral's name for it is "partial 23S ribosomal RNA". It matches the Rfam family "Bacterial large subunit ribosomal RNA", at positions 968 to 1917 of the family's 2925-position model. The record is from RNAcentral. Lineage: Bacteria; Pseudomonadati; Pseudomonadota; Gammaproteobacteria; Enterobacterales; Enterobacteriaceae.
AGUGCAAUCACGGGAGACAGACAUCGGGUGCUAACGUCCGGUGUCAAGAGGGAAACAACCCAGACCGCCAGCUAAGGUCCCCAAGAUUGGCUAAGUGGGAAACGAAGUGGGAAGGCUAAAACAGUCAGGAGGUUGGCUUAGAAGCAGCCACCCUUUAAAGAAAGCGUAAUAGCUCACUGAUCGAGUCGUCCUGCGCGGAAGAUGUAACGGGGCUAAGCCAGUCACCGAAGCUGCGGACGCGCCUUGUGCGCGUGGUAGGAGAGCGUUCCGUAAGCCUGUGAAGGUGUCUUGUAAAGGAUGCUGGAGGUAUCGGAAGUGCGAAUGCUGACAUGAGUAGCGAUAAAGGGGGUGAAAGGCCCCCUCGCCGUAAGCCCAAGGUUUCCUACGCAACGUUCAUCGGCGUAGGGUGAGUCGGCCCCUAAGGCGAGGCAGAGAUGCGUAGCUGAUGGGAAGCAGGUUAAUAUUCCUGCACCGUCGUAUGAUGCGAUGGGGGGACGGAUCGCGGAAGGUUGUCCGGGUGUUGGAAGUCCCGGUCCCUGCAUUGGAGAAGGCGCUUUGGCAAAUCCGGGCGCGGGAUUCAAGGAUGUGGGGCGAGCGGCCUAGUGCUGCGAAGCAAUCGGAAGGGGUCCCAAGAAAAGCCUCUAAGCUUCAGUCAUACGAGACCGUACCGCAAACCGACACAGGUGGGCGAGAUGAGUAUUCUAAGGCGCUUGAGAGAACUCGGGAGAAGGAACUCGGCAAAUUGGUACCGUAACUUCGGGAUAAGGUACGCCCUGGUAGCUUGACUGGCCUGCGCCAGAAGGGUGACGGGGUUGCAAUAAAAUGGUGGCUGCGACUGUUUAAUAAAAACACAGCACUCUGCAAACACGAAAGUGGACGUAUAGGGUGUGACGCCUGCCCGGUGCCGGAAGAUUAAAUGAUGGGGUGCAAGCUCUUGAUUGAAG